GCUUUCCUAGCUCAGUUGGUAGAGCAUUAGACUUUUAAUCUAAUGGUCGGGGGUUCGAGCCCCCCGGAGAGCG
Molecule: non-coding RNA, 73 nt
Organism: Amoeboaphelidium occidentale
Lineage: Eukaryota; Fungi; Aphelidiomycota; Aphelidea
Source: the annotation of a GenBank genome assembly